UGGGGAUUAUGACGUAAUGUUAAUCUUUUGAAGUGGUCUUCGAGUGUACUUGAGAGGUAGAAUAUCCUUUUGAAGUGGUUUUCAAUGGCACUUGAAAGGCAAAGUGUCCUUUUAAAAGAUGUUUAAUUAAAAAUAAAGAUGGCGGAUAUUUGCAUAAUUAAAAAUAAAGAUGGCGGCUAGUUCCGUAAUGAAAAACAAAGAUGGCGGAUAGUUUACCUGGCAACCAAUGGGGAGAGUGAUGCAUGAAUGAGUGAUUAUAGGCAGUAUGUGUGUGUAUUGAAAUGUUUUCUCAAUAAACAUUAUUAUUAUUAUUAUAAACGGGUCAGUUUUUACUGACCACCAUUAAAUUCGAAAUGGCUACCGCCGACAGCGUGUCUAUAUCUUUGAGCAAGACUGGAGAAAUUUCACCAGAACGCGAACCUUUUAAAAUCUGUGAGGAAAGUGAGCUUCAGGGCGGCCGGGCGGUCUCUAGCGACUGCGUGGUUUGCGGCAAUAGGCUGCCUAAGAACCGCGUUACUUUCAUCGCUCAAAUAGUCGCCAUAUACGGAAUAAUAAUCGUGUCUGCGGUCAAUCUUUCGAUCAAUUCCGGGUCAAAUCAAGAACUCUGGAUUGCUCUACUCAGCUCGGCCGUCGGCUACGUGCUGCCGAGUCCCGGACUUAAGUACAGAAAAGCCAAAGCGACAUUCGGACCAACCCUUAGGGAUGAGGGACAGUAAUGGCGGAACUGAAACCAAGUUCGAGUAUCUCGGUAGAUCGAGAAGGCAGACUCAAAAUAAGCAGAAAAGAAAUAGUUUCAUUCCCGGAGUCUCAGGACACGUACAGUACCAACAGACCGGUUCACAUAUUGCUCAGCAGCCGGUCUAAACAUUCAUUUAUUCAACACUAAUGAUAAGUCAGCUUUACCUUUUUGAUUCUGAAAAGAGAUAUUUUGACGCUUAUUCUAACUGGAUUGUACGAAAACGAGCAUGUUUUAAUAGCCUUUAUGAAUCUUUUUAAAUUGAAUUAAAGAUGGCGGUUAGCCAUUCGAGUUAUUUUUAAAUAAGAUAAAAAAAAUGGCGUCUUAUUGGAGGGAGAUUCCUUUGGGGUUUAUCAAGUAUGUAUCGAAAUAUAUCUCGAUACUCAAAAUAGGCGGCAGAAUGUCUGUCAUUAUAAUAAUAACAACGGUUAUUAUUAUUAUGAUUAUGAUGAAGAUUAUUAUUAUCAUUAUUAUGAGAUAAAGUAAUUGCUGGAAGCCGUUGCUCGGGUAGCGGCUCAAUGCUAGUCAUUUUUUGAUGACGUGUUACCCAUUAGCGGAGAAAAAAAGCAAUUAAAAAUGACCUAGAUUUCACUGAACACGACUUGUUCAGGCAUUUUGCCAGAAUGUCGUGUCGACGCUUUACCAUUGACGAGAGAGCAGAAAAACAGGAUUGCCAGUCGAUAGAGACCUCUUUUUCAUUUCAUCAAAUUAUUUCUUAAAAUAGUAUACUACCGCGCAAUUUUGAUGUUAGAAUACAAUGCCGUGACAGUAACUGGAAAAACAUCGUAUUAUUUCCCCUCACUAAUUCUGUAUUGUUAAUGUGGCAGCUAUUCUUACUUUUGAUUCAAGUGUACCAAGUGAGUAAAAAUAUUGUGUUGUUACAUAGUUAACAGUCUAUUUUAUCAGUAAAAAUCUGAAAUUUAAAAACCUAUAGAAAGAGUGUCCCAGUGAAGUAUAAGUUCGGGGUAAUAAAAUAAA
Long non-coding RNA from Ruditapes philippinarum (Manila clam), 1714 nucleotides. RefSeq lists it as uncharacterized. The transcript is spliced from 2 exons. The record is from RefSeq and is a predicted model, not a curated record. NCBI's taxonomy places the organism in Eukaryota, Metazoa, Mollusca, Bivalvia, Venerida, Veneridae.